UACGUAGGGUGCAAGCGUUGUUCGGAAUCAUUGGGCGUAAAGCGCGUGUAGGUUGUUAAGUGUGUCGGGUGUGAAAUCCCUGGGCUCAACCGAGGAAGUGCAUCCGAAACUGCUUAGCUAGAGGACGGUAGAGGAAGGUGGAAUUCCUAGUGUAGAGGUGAAAUUCGUAGAUAUUAGGAGGAAUACCGGUGGCGAAGGCGGCCUUCUGGGCCGAUCCUGACACUGAGACGCGAAAGCGUGGGGAGCAAACAGG
RNAcentral lists this ribosomal RNA (253 nucleotides) under uncultured bacterium. RNAcentral's name for it is "partial 16S ribosomal RNA". It matches the Rfam family "Bacterial small subunit ribosomal RNA", at positions 524 to 776 of the family's 1533-position model. The record is from RNAcentral.